This 410-nucleotide unclassified non-coding RNA is filed under the name Hevea brasiliensis (rubber tree). Lineage: Eukaryota; Viridiplantae; Streptophyta; Magnoliopsida; Malpighiales; Euphorbiaceae. The record is from RNAcentral.
GGGGAAAGCUGUCUUUAAAGCCACACUGAAGUCUGUGAAGGGGAAGUUGCAGGGGAAGCCUUCGAUGUACAGGCUUGGUGGAUUACCAUUGGCAUUCCAGUGUUGGUUUUAUGAGUGCUGCCCUUAUGUUAAUAAUAAGAUUGCUUUCCGAGUUGAUGACAAAGUGCCCCGCAUACUUAGCUGGAAAGUUACAAAGCAGCCAAGUUUUAAGGAGUUGUUGGAUGGAAUUUUCAGGCUGAGUCAGGAUCAGUUGAAGCUGAGGAAUAUAUCUCCGACAGAAUUUGAGAAAACAACACUUGGCUUACCUGAAUCAACUGAAAAUGAAAGGGUUAAUAAGGUGGCAUCUGGAGAUGUUCAUCUUAGCGAUGAAGACACUAGCAAUCCACCUCCUCAAGCAAGUAGGAAGUAGC